CGUUCAUUGGAAGUCUGCUGAUGCUCAGAGCUGGAGCUAUCACUGCUGCAGCCCGACCAAACUUGGGGCAUGUGAUGGAGGAAAGGUUUCGUUUGCUUUUGCCACUGGAUCAGGCUUCAGGUGACAUCAGGGAUCAGGUUGAAAGACUACAGACAUCAUUGCACUGCUGUGGUCUGUUUGGCUACAAAGACUGGGAGAACAGCAUCCCUGAUUCCUGCCUGUGCAAACAGGAUGUAGAGGAAUGUCAGACAGUCAGC
Molecule: long non-coding RNA, 257 nt
Organism: Pundamilia nyererei
Lineage: Eukaryota; Metazoa; Chordata; Actinopteri; Cichliformes; Cichlidae
Exons: 3
Source: RefSeq, a predicted model, not a curated record